CACCUGUGCCUUCCUUGGCAGCCGAGAGCAGCGACAGCUACCACGUCAUCCUGAAGUAGGACAGGUGAGGGCACCUGGGACACCUCGACACCUGGGACACCUGAACACCUGGAACACCUGAACACCUGGACACCUGGAACACUUGGAUACCUGGGACACCUGAACACCUGGACAACUGGAACACCAGGACACCUGAAGCACCUGAACACCUGGACAGCUGGAACACCUGGACGCCUGAACACUUGGAGCACCUGGACACCUGGACACCUGGAACACCUGGACAGCUGGAACACCUGGACACCUGAACACCUGGACACCGCCCACUCCCAGCACAAGGACACGAGCAGAGAGCUGGGAACACCUGGGAGCCCCCAGGUGUGCUUACCUGUCUGUACCUGUUCCAGGUGACCCCCAGCUGUGGUUACCUGGCUGUGCCUGUCCCAGGUGUGGUUACCUGGCUGUCCCUCUCUCAGGUGACCCCCAGGUGUGGUUACCUGUGCUUACCUGGCUGUGCCUGUCCCAGGUGACCCCCAGGUGUGGUUACCUGUGCUUACCUGGCUGUGCCUGUCCCAGGUGACCCCCAGGUGUGGUUACCUGUGCUUACCUGGCUGCCCCCCCCUCAGCAGCUGUGAGGCCCCAGGUGUUCCCCCCCGGGCCAGGUGUGUCUCCAGGUGUGUGCAGGUGGGAUCCGAUCCCGCCGGGAAUUUACCGAUGGAAAAUUUGGGAAUAAAGGAAUAACUGGGGGGGGGGGGGGGCGGGGGGGGGUGUCGCUGUUUUAGGGAGAAAAACAACGAUUUGGCUCUUUCUGCUGAACACGGGGAGGGGUCAAAGCGCCCCUGGGCAGGUGCCCAGGUGAGGGUGUGCCCAGGUGAGGCUGUGCCCAGGUGAGGCUGUGCCCAGGUGAACAGGCCGGGAUGCUCCAGGUAAGCCGUGCCUGGGGAUUUGGGGGGAAAUGGGGGGAAAAGGCAAUAAAAGCUGAUUUAUUUCA
Corapipo altera (White-ruffed manakin) is the source of this 988-nucleotide long non-coding RNA. RefSeq lists it as uncharacterized. Lineage: Eukaryota; Metazoa; Chordata; Aves; Passeriformes; Pipridae. The transcript is spliced from 2 exons. The record is from RefSeq and is a predicted model, not a curated record.